RNAcentral lists this ribosomal RNA (336 nucleotides) under uncultured bacterium. RNAcentral's name for it is "bacterial SSU rRNA". It matches the Rfam family "Bacterial small subunit ribosomal RNA", at positions 72 to 422 of the family's 1533-position model. The record is from RNAcentral.
AAGGGGAGCAAUCCCUGAGUAAAGUGGCGACCGGGUGAGUAACACGUGACUAACCUACCUUCGAGUGGGGGAUAACCUAGGGAAACCUGGGCUAAUACCGCAUAACGUCUUCGGACCAAAGGAGCAAUUCGCUUGAAGAGGGGGUCGCGGCCGAUUAGUUAGUUGGUGGGGUAACGGCCCACCAAGGCAAUGAUCGGUAGCCGGCCUGAGAGGGCGCACGGCCACACUGGAACUGAAACACGGUCCAGACUCCUACGGGAGGCAGCAGUGGGGAAUUUUGCGCAAUGGGGGAAACCCUGACGCAGCAACGCCGCGUGGAGGAUGAAGCCCCUUGGG